CCCACUCCUCUCACUUCUCUCUCACUCCCGACUCCAUUUGCUCCGGUCAUCGACUCCAUUUUCUCCGUUCAUCGAUUUUCUCCGAUCAUCGACUCCAUUUAGGUUUCCGCGACAAUGGUGCUCAGUGGAAACAGGCGCGAACAGCCCGAGUGGUACCAGCAACGCCAAAGUGAGGCGGCGAGGAGGGCGCGAGCUACUCGUGAGCCGGAGGUCCGGGCUCCACGUCAACAUCCGCCGCCGCCGCCGCCGACGGGCCCCAGGGUCAGCGCAGCCGAACGGCGUCAAAGCCGUCGAGCCGCCAUGCGUGAGCAGGCGGCUCCGCGUCCCCGAGCCGUUGUUGCCGUUCCUGAGGGAGUUCCUGCAGCCGGUGUGGGCGGCGCUGAAGCAGCCG
RNAcentral lists this long non-coding RNA (391 nucleotides) under Rosa chinensis. RNAcentral describes it as "sRNA RchiOBHm_Chr4g0393451". The record is from RNAcentral. Lineage: Eukaryota; Viridiplantae; Streptophyta; Magnoliopsida; Rosales; Rosaceae.